RNAcentral lists this transfer RNA (66 nucleotides) under Hemicaecilius smithersi. RNAcentral's name for it is "tRNA-Met". Lineage: Eukaryota; Metazoa; Arthropoda; Insecta; Psocodea; Sphaeropsocidae. The record is from RNAcentral.
UAAAAAGUAAGCUAAAUUUAAGCUUUUGGGCUCAUACCUCAACUAUAGACAAAUAUCUCUUUUUAA